AAACGGGAGGUGGGCAGGCGGAAGACACGCAGCCCCUCUGAUGACGCAUAGAUUAGAUCGUGCCCGACGUUUGAUCUCCUGAAAUCGUGGCGGCAGUCGCCCAUCGCCGGCCACGCCGACAAGCCGAGCCGCGAGGGCUGGUUCUAAGGUUUUUGCCGGGGUCAACAGACGACAUGCCCCACGAUUGUUCCGGGAGUACGUCGGCCAUGCAGCCGCCGAGACAUCCCUCGUCCGCGCACCUUCAUCCUCCUUCAGUACAUGUGGAUAGAUUAUUGGUGGAUAUAUCGAUCAACUCUUGCCCACCUAAUAUAUGGAGUUUUACUUGUGCCUGGCUUCACAAGAGGUGUGUGAAAAUUUAUCUUUCAUCUCAUAUGAAACAUCGCCGCUACAUAUUCCUUGCAGUGAGUAACUUAAGUUUCUCGACAAAUUAAUUAUCAUAUACUACAUAGUUUUUUUUAUCUUAUACAUAGUUGUUAAAUGCAACUUAAGCGUGCUUAUUAUUAUUUUGAUGUUGUACAAACACGUGGUUACCAUUUUAGAAAAAGGGCCCUGGGUUCUAGUUUCGCCCCCGAAAUCAUAGGACCCGCCCUGAGCGCAUCACCCUGGUUAGCCUGGUAAGUCCCAGCCCAUGCUCUGUUCUUAUUCUCCGGCGAGAUUUUCUCAGCCCCGCAUCUUUUUAUCUUUAUGUUUCUUCUCCGGCUUGAGGGAGUGGAUUCCCAUCACUAGAUUCUUGGAUAAAAGGAGGAGAUGCAAGAUAAUCCACAACCGCAUGGACCAAACCUAUAGCUCGAUCGGCCUUGUUAAGUGACAAUAUAUUGAGAUCUAGAACAUUGCGGAGCAACGAGUGACAAAAGUAUUAGAUGAGAUGUGGAACAUUGCGGAUUAUUGAAGAGAUUGUUAAGGAUUGAAUGUUCUAUUUGGUACUGUCCAGAUGAGUUCGUCCUGUGCUAGAAGGUGUGUGGGAUAUAGGAGAUACAAGGAGAGAUAUUUCAGUUGCAAUCCAGCUUUAUUUCAAUGUAAAAGAUGCAGGUUCUACGAUCUCCUGUGUUGCUACAUCUUCAUCUCCUGCAUUGUUGUAACUCUGUUCUGCUGCUCGAGAAGAAGCAGGAGCAAAGCAUACGCAUGCUUCCUUGGUGAGUUUAGAGUUUACCCUGUCUCUGGAAGUUGAAAUUGGCUCUCAUGCGAGCGACGGCCUUUUGUUAGCCAUGGUGAGUUUCAGGCUUACCCUCUGUUCUUGCUAGCUAAAAUUGGUUUCUUGUUGAAUAAUGUUCAUCACACUAUACUCAUGAAUACGAAGAAAGCUACAAAAGAGUGAUAUCGCAUUUUCUUGAGAUAUCCGGCAACGGAAUCUGAUUGUACCCAAAUGUGAUAGAUUCCACUCUUCGACAGCUUGAAUCUAAAGUUGUAGUGUCUGAACAAGACUAGGAUCAUGUUUAUGAUGCAUUUGUCAUCGAUAGAGGUAUGAAUCCUAUGGUUGACAUUGGUAAAAAUCUCAGUGAGCGCCCUACCUCCUGAAUUAAUAGUGAGAAGCCGUAUAUUUUACUUUUAGGUGUAAACAAAUAGUAAAAGAUGAGGUAGCCAUCUCCUACUGAAGUAACAGUGAGAAGCCUACCAGCUGGAUUUUAUUCUUACAUGAUAUCAUGAUAUGAAGUAUUAUUCAUAUUUACUACUUAGGAUGUAUGCAUAUAUGUUACUGGUUAGCAUGAUACUGUUAGCGGAAGUGGUAGUGCUCUUUAUGGUCGAUGAUGGCAUGCCGCUCCAAACCACUCUGCUUUCCAACAACGCCGACAACCACAACAGAGGUGGAUUCAGCCGCCAAGAGGCAGAGUGGUAGUCAAUGGCAGUGGCCUGCUCCCAAGCUGCAGGUGAGAAGGUGACGCGGCGGUGGUUGGUUAGCGUAAAUAUUGAUCACUGCAUUCUGAGAAUAUUUUGUGAGGUAUCUUGAUUGGCAUAACAGGUUGCUAGAGUUGUUCAAGCAGGUGUGCUCGUUCUACUUUUGUUAAUUUUUCUAUCUAUAUUUUGUACUUAGUUUAGUUUGAAUCGGUACCAUAACAAGGCUAGGUUCAGUAACUAUUUUUUGCUUUUUUACAUAACGGCUGAAUCAAAUGCUCAGGUUAGUAUGUUUAGUUAACAAUGGCAGGGUCAUUGUGGUGCCUGUUGGGCCUUUGGUGUUGUGGAGUGCCUGCAAGAUCGUUUCUGCAUUCCUCAGCAUGGUGAGCGCAUAUGGACGAUCUGUCUACUCUCUGGUCUAUUUUAAACAGGCAUGUUAUUCUUUUCACACAUAACCAUCCUGCUGUUUCUAUUCCAGAAAAUUUCACUUUAUAUCAAUAAGCAUUUAUCUCCAUGUUAACUUGGUGUAAGGUAGCUUUGACAAUGUGUUGAGGCGUUCUUCUCAGUGUAAGAACAAAUAGUUGGCUGCUCCCAUUUUUAUCUCAUUUCGUAAUCAUCGCAAGCUAUGCCUAUGUCAAUAUCUAAAAGUUUUUGGUGUUUGUUUCUCCUCCUCAAAUCAAUAUUUUCUUUUGAUUUGUAGGACCGUUAGUAAGAUUGCUCAUUGGCAAGCGAAAGAGGUUUGCGGAUUCUUGCACGACUAAGGAAGAAAUUUGUUAUUUGAAGUAUGCACAAGAGAUAAUGCAAGAAAAUCAUGACAGGACCAAUGCCCCCAUAUCCAUCCUUGAAGCCGGGUUGCGCGAGCUAUGCUUGCAGGGGGAAUUAACACGCAAGUUUGCAGCAGCAAGGGUUUUUCUACGUCUUGAUGGGCAGCUAAAUUAGUUUGCUUAGAUCCACUCGAGGCCCGGCGGCGGACGGGAGAGGGACACCGGCUAACACCUGCGAGCUGGUGGUUGGUGGCGGCUCGAUCCACUCCUGGAUCCUUCUUCUUCCACUUCCCUGAUGGCGAGAUUAGAUGCGACCUGGUGGUUGGUGACGGCUCGAUCCACUCAUGGAUCCUUCUUCUUUCACUUCUCUGCUGCCUAACACCGAGCAGCGGUCAAGGAGCAUGGUAUCGACGACGGCAGCCGGAAACAUGAUUUAAAAUGGCACUUUAUACCACCAAAUACAAAUGUGUGUGUGUGUGUGGGCGUGUGGGUGUCUCAUUGUAUAUUUUGUUUUAAGUUAAAAUGUAUAUAUCCAUAUCAUUGUACACAACAUCAACCAUGUUUCCUAUUAAAGGGGAUUAAA
This is a long non-coding RNA of Triticum aestivum (bread wheat), 3177 nucleotides long. RefSeq lists it as uncharacterized. NCBI's taxonomy places the organism in Eukaryota, Viridiplantae, Streptophyta, Magnoliopsida, Poales, Poaceae. The transcript has 9 exons. The record is from RefSeq and is a predicted model, not a curated record.